RNAcentral lists this ribosomal RNA (459 nucleotides) under uncultured bacterium. Its description in RNAcentral is "partial 16S ribosomal RNA". It matches the Rfam family "Bacterial small subunit ribosomal RNA", at positions 339 to 795 of the family's 1533-position model. The record is from RNAcentral.
CUACGGGACGCACCAGUGAGGAAUAUUGGGCAAUGGAGGCAACUCUGACCCAGCCAUGCCGCGUGCAGGAAGACGGCCCUCUGGGUUGUAAACUGCUUUUGUUUGGGAAUAAACCCUUCUACGUGUAGGAGGCUGAAGGUACCAUUCGAAUAAGGAUCGGCUAACUCCGUGCCAGCAGCCGCGGUAAUACGGAGGAUCCAAGCGUUAUCCGGAUUUAUUGGGUUUAAAGGGUCCGUAGGCGGGUCUUUAAGUCAGUGGUGAAAGCCCACAGCUCAACUGUGGAACUGCCAUUGAUACUGGAGAUCUCGAGUGUAGUAGAAGUAGGCGGAAUAGGGCAUGUAGCGGUGAAAUGCAUAGAUAUGCCCUAGAACACCGAUUGCGAAGGCAGCUUACUAUGUUACAACUGACGCUGAGGGACGAAAGCGUGGGGAGCAAACAGGAUUAGAUACCCGGGUAGUC